UACGUAGGGACCGAGCGUUGUCCGGAUUCAUUGGGCGUAAAGAGCUCGUAGGCGGCUGUUCAAGUCGAACGUGAAAACUCGGAGCUCAACUCCGAGCCUGCGUUCGAUACUAGACGGCUAGAGUCUGGUAGGGGGAUCUGGAAUUCCUGGUGUAGCGGUGGAAUGCGCAGAUAUCAGGAGGAACACCGAUGGCGAAAGCGCCACUCUGAGCCGGUACUGACGCUGAGGAGCGAAAGCGUGGGGAGCGAACAGG
RNAcentral lists this ribosomal RNA (253 nucleotides) under uncultured bacterium. RNAcentral's name for it is "partial 16S ribosomal RNA". It matches the Rfam family "Bacterial small subunit ribosomal RNA", at positions 524 to 776 of the family's 1533-position model. The record is from RNAcentral.